Long non-coding RNA from Rhipicephalus microplus (southern cattle tick), 903 nucleotides. NCBI's taxonomy places the organism in Eukaryota, Metazoa, Arthropoda, Arachnida, Ixodida, Ixodidae. The record is from RefSeq and is a predicted model, not a curated record.
UGCAACCUGCCGACAAUCGCCGUGCAUCUUCUCACCAGAGCACGACUGUGACACUUCUCCAGCGAAUCCACUUCCCAGGUUCCCGAUAGCACGGCACUUCGGGAGCCUUUUUGGUUAAACUCCUCAGACAUCAACAGCGGUGUCGCAGACGAGCAUCAAGAUGCGACUGGUCUUCGCAAUUGCUGUCUUCGUCGUGGCCGUGGGUCCAAUCUACGCCGAAUGGAUUGAUCUCCACAAGCCGGUGCGAAUCUGCUCUGCAACGAUGCUGGUCGAAGUCAUAAACAACGUCUGCCAGACGCCACUCACAGCCGCUAGACGUCGCAGGAGGAGCCUCCGAGAUUCUGAUGAGAUGAUUGAUGGUGUCGUGAGGAGCACGAGGCGCUCCAUGGAGAAGCACGCUAUCAAGCUGCCUCCCAAUUUGGUGCGGGAUUUCGCCAACACCUGCUGCUACACACCAUGUCGGCCAUACCGUUUCAUCGACAUCUGCUGACCGAGACGGGCGUAAUACCACGCGUACUCGCGCGCAAAUCACACUGGAACCUGACGACGUACCCUUAUGGCGCUCGUAGGGAAGAGCACAUGAUCUUUCUACACAGUUCAAAAUGCACAGUCGACACCGAUACUUCUUGUGAUAGCACUAUGGCACGGGAGGAAAUAUUUAACACGAUAUAUAUGUUUUCGUGGCUAUGUAUAUAAAGAAGGCUAUAUCUGCACUCACAUUUAUACUAAGAUGUCAAUGCACCGGUACAAUGCAGUGUUCGUACUUUUAGUUUUAUAUGUACGGAUCUUUUUAUCGUCGUCUACUUAAAUGGGUCUUUUGUAACGUGCUUAUGAUUUAUGCUAUUUUUUACAUUAAUAAUUUCUGUGGUUACAAUUACCUGCAAAAUAAAAGCUGAAACAAUA